Molecule: ribosomal RNA, 496 nt
Filed under: uncultured bacterium
Lineage: Bacteria
Description: partial 16S ribosomal RNA
Rfam family: Bacterial small subunit ribosomal RNA
Source: RNAcentral
GAUGAACGCUGGCGGCGUGCCUAAUACAUGCAAGUCGAGCGAACAGAUGAGGAGCUUGCUCGUCUGACGUUAGCGGCGGACGGGUGAGUAACACGUGGAUAACCUACCUAUAAGACUGGGAUAACUUCGGGAAACCGGAGCUAAUACCGGAUAAUAUAUUGAACCGCAUGGUUCAAUAGUGAAAGCCGGUUUUGCUGUCACUUAUAGAUGGAUCCGCGCCGCAUUAGCUAGUUGGUAGGGUAACGGCUUACCAAGGCAACGAUGCGUAGCCGACCUGAGAGGGUGAUCGGCCACACUGGAACUGAGACACGGUCCAGACUCCUACGGGAGGCAGCAGUGGGGAAUCUUCCGCAAGGGGCGAAAGCCUGACGGAGCAGCGCCGCGUGAGUGAUGAAGGUCUUCGGAUCGUAAAACUCUGUUAUUGGGGAAGAACAAAUGUGUAAGUAACUAUGCGCGUCUGGACGGUACCUAAGCAGAAAGCCACGGCUAACUACGU